RNAcentral lists this ribosomal RNA (441 nucleotides) under uncultured bacterium. RNAcentral describes it as "partial 16S ribosomal RNA". It matches the Rfam family "Bacterial small subunit ribosomal RNA", at positions 338 to 795 of the family's 1533-position model. The record is from RNAcentral.
CCUACGGGGGGCUGCAGUGGGGAAUAUUGCACAAUGGGGGGAACCCUGAUGCAGCAACGCCGCGUGGGUGAAGAAGUACUUCGGUAUGUAAAGCCCUGUCAGCAGGGAAGAAAAUGACGGUACCUGACCAAGAAGCCCCGGCCAACUACGUGCCAGCAGCGACGGUAAUACGUAGGGGGCAAGCGUGAUACGGAUUUACUGGGCGUAAAGGGAGUGUAGACGGGGAGGCAAGUCUGGAGGGAAACCCCGUGGCUCAACCACGGGACUGCUUUGGAAACUGGGUUGCUGGAGGGGAGGAGGGGUAAGCGGAAUUGCGAGUGUAGCGGUGGAAUGCGUAGAUAAUAGGAGGAACACCGGUGGCGAAGGCGGCUUACUGGGCUGUAACUGACGUUGAGGCUCGAAGGCGUGGGGAGCAAACAGGAUUAGAUACCCCUGGUAGUC